Molecule: long non-coding RNA, 657 nt
Organism: Pipra filicauda (Wire-tailed manakin)
Lineage: Eukaryota; Metazoa; Chordata; Aves; Passeriformes; Pipridae
Exons: 2
Source: RefSeq, a predicted model, not a curated record
UUUUGUGCCUGGAACGAGCUGGAAAUGCCAUGGAACAAAACUAAAUGGAUAAACGGGCUCGGCAAGCACGUCGCUUCUCGGGGGCGGGGGGCGGCUGGACAGUGUGUUUCCCUCUUUGGAGCGAAAGAAAAGAAAAGAAAUCGAGUUGAACUUUGCAUCUGUCAAAUAGAAAUCUAAUAGGAAAGAGAGCUGUACAUGGUCAAAGUCAAGUCCAGGCUCCAGGAACAUCCAGGAGGACAGUUUCGGGUAUCGCCUGGAUGCGCCAAGCAAACACUCGCGCGCGCGGUGCCGCUUCCCGCCGGCAGCCUGGAAUCCCGCGGGCCGCCGAGGAAAACCCGCCGCUGGAGAGCAGGGUGACAAAUCCACUUGCAGACUUUAAUGAGUGGCUUGGAAACCAUGUGUCAAUGACAUGGGCUGCUGGAGAAGAUGAGCAGGAUGGUGGUGGAGCUUUAUUCCCAGGCCAUGGUUGAUGCAAAGCUGCUUGAGCAUCCCAAAUUCUCAAGUCAGGUGGAAGCCAAGGGAGUGAAGCAGCUGAUGGGCUGCCACUCCCUCCGUGGUUCCAACAUGUGUUUCCCUGGAUGUUUUCCAUUGGCAGCCAGCUGAGCUUUUGCUACGACACCAAGCAAAUAAAAAGAUACACAUUUCCUCAACUUUGAA